AGUUAACGUUGGCGGCGUGCCUAACACAUGCAAGUCGAACGCGUCCUAAGGGCAACUUUAGGAUGAGUGGCGAACGGGUGAGUAUCACGUGGGUAAUCUUCCUUCAAGUGGGGAAUAAGCUCUCGAAAGGGAGUCUAAUACCGCAUGACAUUCCGGGACACAAGUCCCGUAAUCAAAGUCGCAAGGCGCUUGAAGAUGAGCCUGCGUCCUAUUAGCUAGUUGGUGGGGUAACGGCCUACCAAGGCUUAGAUGGGUAGCCGGCCUGAGAGGGUGAACGGCCACACUGGGACUGAGACACGGCCCAGACUCCUACGGGAGGCAGCAGUGAGGAAUUUUGCGCAAUGGGGGAAACCCUGACGCAGCGACGCCGCGUGGAGGAUGAAGGCCUUCGGGUCGUAACUACCUGUCAGAGGUGAAGAAUACCCGCAAGGGUUUGACGGUAACCUCAGAGGAAGCCCGGCGUAACUACGUGCCAGCAGCCGCGGUAAAGUACACGUCG
RNAcentral lists this ribosomal RNA (499 nucleotides) under uncultured bacterium. RNAcentral's name for it is "bacterial SSU rRNA". It matches the Rfam family "Bacterial small subunit ribosomal RNA", at positions 29 to 532 of the family's 1533-position model. The record is from RNAcentral.